This 264-nucleotide ribosomal RNA is filed under the name uncultured Oscillospiraceae bacterium. Its description in RNAcentral is "partial 16S ribosomal RNA". It matches the Rfam family "Bacterial small subunit ribosomal RNA", at positions 76 to 339 of the family's 1533-position model. The record is from RNAcentral. Lineage: Bacteria; Bacillati; Bacillota; Clostridia; Eubacteriales; Oscillospiraceae.
AUGGAAGCUUGUAAACUUAGUGGCGGACGGGUGAGUAACACGUGAGCAACCUGCCUAUCAGAGGGGGAUAACGAUUGGAAACGGUCGCUAAUACCGCAUGACAUAGCAGAAUCGCAUGGUUCUGUUAUCAAAGAUUUUAUCGCUGAAAGAUGGCCUCGCGUCUGAUUAGCUAGUUGGUGAGGUAACGGCCCACCAAGGCGACGAUCAGUAGCCGGACUGAGAGGUUGACCGGCCACAUUGGGACUGAGAUACGGCCCAGACUCC